GACGAACGCUGGCGGCGUGCCUAAUUCAUGCAAGUAGAACGCACAGUUUAUACCGUAGCUUGCUACACCAUAGACUGUGAGUUGCGAACGGGUGAGUAACGCGUAGGUAACCUGCCUGGUAGCGGGGGAUAACUAUUGGAAACGAUAGCUAAUACCGCAUAAUAUUAAUUAUUGCAUGAUAAUUAAUUGAAUGGUGCAAUUGCACCACUACCAGAUGGACCUGCGUUGUAUUAGCUAGUAGGUGAGGUAACGGCUCACCUAGGCGACGAUACAUAGCCGACCUGAGAGGGUGAUCGGCCACACUGGGACUGAGACACGGCCCAGACUCCUACGGGAGGCAGCAGUAGGGAAUCUUCGGCAAUGGACGAAAGUCUGACCGAGCAACGCCGCGUGAGUGAAGAAGGUUUUCGGAUCGUAAAGCUCUGUUGUAAGAGAAGAACGGGUGUGAGAGUGGAAAGUUCACACUGUGACGGUAUCUUACCAGAAAGGGACGGCUAACUACGUG
Molecule: ribosomal RNA, 505 nt
Filed under: uncultured bacterium
Lineage: Bacteria
Description: partial 16S ribosomal RNA
Rfam family: Bacterial small subunit ribosomal RNA
Source: RNAcentral